AGCAGCCGCGGUAAUUCCAGCUCCAAUAGCGUAUAUUAAAGUUGUUGCAGUUAAAAAGCUCGUAGUUGAAUUUCGGGAUUGACACAUCGGUCGUGCCUUAAGGGGUAUGAACUGGUGUAGUCAAUUUCUCACCUUCUGGAGAACCGCGAUGCCCUUAAUUGGGUGUCACGGGGGAACCAGGACCUUUACUUUGAAAAAAUUUAGAGUGUUUAAAGCAGGCAUUUUGCUUGAAUACAUUAGCAUGGAAUAAUAAAAUAGGACGGCAUGAUUCUAUUUUGUUGGUUUCUAGGAUCACCGUAAUGAUUAAUAGGGAUAGUUGGGGGGCAUUAGUAUUCAAUUGUCAGAGUGAAAUUCUUGGAUUUAUUGAAGACUAACUACUGCGAAAGCAUUUGCCAAGGAUGUUUUCAUAAUCAAGAGCGAAAGUUAGGGGAUCGAAGACGAUCAGAUACCGUCGUAGUCUUAACCAUAAACUAUGCCGACUAGGAAUCAGACGAUGUUAAUUUUUUAAUGACUCGUUUGG
This 520-nucleotide ribosomal RNA is filed under the name uncultured Entrophospora. Its description in RNAcentral is "SSU rRNA". It matches the Rfam family "Eukaryotic small subunit ribosomal RNA", at positions 569 to 1083 of the family's 1831-position model. The record is from RNAcentral. Lineage: Eukaryota; Fungi; Glomeromycota; Glomeromycetes; Entrophosporales; Entrophosporaceae.